UGAGAAGAUCCGGCGAGAAACUCAGUGG
Molecule: small RNA, 28 nt
Filed under: Bombyx mori (domestic silkworm)
Lineage: Eukaryota; Metazoa; Arthropoda; Insecta; Lepidoptera; Bombycidae
Description: piRNA piR-bmo-1766645
Source: RNAcentral